This 426-nucleotide ribosomal RNA is filed under the name uncultured Pseudomonadaceae bacterium. Its description in RNAcentral is "bacterial SSU rRNA". It matches the Rfam family "Bacterial small subunit ribosomal RNA", at positions 356 to 774 of the family's 1533-position model. The record is from RNAcentral. Lineage: Bacteria; Pseudomonadati; Pseudomonadota; Gammaproteobacteria; Pseudomonadales; Pseudomonadaceae.
GGGGAAUAUUGGACAAUGGGCGAAAGCCUGAUCAAGCCAUGCCGCGUGUGUGAAGAAGGUCUUCGGAUUGUAAAGCACUUUAAGUUGGGAGGAAGGGCUGCAAGUUAAUACCUUGUAGUUUUGACGUUACCAGCAGAAUAAGCACCGGCUAACUUCGUGCCAGCAGCCGCGGUAAUACGAAGGGUGCAAGCGUUAAUCGGAAUUACUGGGCGUAAAGCGCGCGUAGGUGGUUUGGUAAGAUGGAUGUGAAAUCCCCGGGCUCAACCUGGGAACUGCAUCCAUAACUGCCUGACUAGAGUACGGUAGAGGGUGGUGGAAUUUCCUGUGUAGCGGUGAAAUGCGUAGAUAUAGGAAGGAACACCAGUGGCGAAGGCGGCUCACUGGACCAUUACUGACGCUGAGGUGCGAAAGCGUGGGGAGCAAACA